AUGUGGUGCGGGAUAGCACCGAAUCCAGCCGGGUCGGCUCCAGAUGCGCGGCGCUGGUGGACCGAGCCCAGCUGGGGGACGGGGCCGGCGGAGCUCCCUCCCUUCCGCGGGGCUGGAACCGGCCCCUGGGCAGCGCCCCCAGCUCCUCCCCGCUCUGUAGGGCCGGUCCGAGCCCCUCCUCCCGUUUCCGCUGGCAGGAGCUGGAGCCGUGUCCUGCCGUGCCUGUGCAGCUCCCUCAGGACUCGGCCCUAUCCGGCUCGGCUCGGCCCGGCCCGGCCCGGCCCAGCCCAGCCCGGCCCAGCCCAGCCCAACGCGGUCCAGGGACGUGCGGAAUUUAAGAAGUGCAACAUGGCAAGAGGCUGCCUGUGUUGUUUGAAAUAUAUGAUGUUCCUUUUCAAUUUGAUAUUUUGGGAAGUAGGCAUCCACCUAAUAGUUUGCACUACAGUAAUGUUGUCCAGAGUUGAUAGCUGGUGUGAUCCUGGCAUUCUGGCAAUCCACCUAUCUGCAGACGUAGUGAGGUGGGUUUUUCUGUUUUUGUUUGUUUUGUUUUGUUUUGUUUAUUUGGUUUGUUUGUUUGUUUGCUUUUUACUUUCUUGUGAAAUUCACUCAUGA
This 612-nucleotide long non-coding RNA is filed under the name Anser cygnoides (Swan goose). RNAcentral describes it as "lncRNA (ENSACDG00005019067.1)". The record is from RNAcentral. Lineage: Eukaryota; Metazoa; Chordata; Aves; Anseriformes; Anatidae.